UGUUUUGGGAGCUGUGCAAUGAGGUGUUCCUUCAUAAUGCAUUAUUUCUGCUUUUCCUUUGCAGAGAGAAGCGAUGCAAAGUUGGAGACACUAGCUGAAAACCUGAAAAGAAUUGGUGUAAAUUUGGAGAAACUAGCUGGAAAAUUGGAGCAACAAACAGAAGCAGUGGGUGAGUCUUCUUCCCC
Non-coding RNA from Meleagris gallopavo (turkey), 185 nucleotides. NCBI's taxonomy places the organism in Eukaryota, Metazoa, Chordata, Aves, Galliformes, Phasianidae. The record is from RefSeq and is a predicted model, not a curated record.